AAACUUAAAGAAUUGACGGGGACCCGCACAAGCGGUGGAUGAUGUGGUUUAAUUCGAUGCAACGCGAAAAACCUUACCCACCUUUGACAUGUACGGAAUCCUUUAGAGAUAGAGGAGUGCUCGAAAGAGAGCCGUAACACAGGUGCUGCAUGGCUGUCGUCAGCUCGUGUCGUGAGAUGUUGGGUUAAGUCCCGCAACGAGCGCAACCCUUGUCAUUAGUUGCUACAUUCAGUUGGGCACUCUAAUGAGACUGCCGGUGACAAACCGGAGGAAGGUGGGGAUGACGUCAAGUCCUCAUGGCCCUUAUAGGUGGGGCUACACACGUCAUACAAUGGCUGGUACAGAGGGUUGCCAACCCGCGAGGGGAGCCAAUCCCAUAAAGCCAGUCGUAGUCCGGAUCGCAGUCUGCAACUCGACUGCGUGAAGUCGGAAUCGCUAGUAAUCGCGGAUCAGAAUGUCGCGGUGAAUACGUUCCCGGGUCUGUAC
RNAcentral lists this ribosomal RNA (486 nucleotides) under uncultured Acidovorax sp. Its description in RNAcentral is "bacterial SSU rRNA". It matches the Rfam family "Bacterial small subunit ribosomal RNA", at positions 897 to 1386 of the family's 1533-position model. Lineage: Bacteria; Pseudomonadati; Pseudomonadota; Betaproteobacteria; Burkholderiales; Comamonadaceae. The record is from RNAcentral.